Molecule: long non-coding RNA, 872 nt
Filed under: Homo sapiens (human)
Lineage: Eukaryota; Metazoa; Chordata; Mammalia; Primates; Hominidae
Description: long non-coding RNA NONHSAT165418.1
Source: RNAcentral
GUCGACUGACGGUAACGGGGCAGAGAGGCUGUUCGCAGAGCUGCGGAAGAUGAAUGCCAGAGGACUUGGAUCUGAGCUAAAGGACAGUAUUCCAGUUACUGAACUUUCAGCAAGUGGACCUUUUGAAAGUCAUGAUCUUCUUCGGAAAGGUUUUUCUUGUGUGAAAAAUGAACUUUUGCCUAGUCAUCCCCUUGAAUUAUCAGAAAAAAAUUUCCAGCUCAACCAAGAUAAAAUGAAUUUUUCCACACUGAGAAACAUUCAGGGUCUAUUUGCUCCGCUAAAAUUACAGAUGGAAUUCAAGGCAGUGCAGCAGGUUCAGCGUCUUCCAUUUCUUUCAAGCUCAAAUCUUUCACUGGAUGUUUUGAGGGGUAAUGAUGAGACUAUUGGAUUUGAGGAUAUUCUUAAUGGUAAAUCCAUCACAAAGCGAAGUCAUGGGAGAGCCACACUUGAUGGUGGAAUAUAAACUUGGUUUACUGUAAUAGUGUGCUGUUCAUGGAAACCGAGGGCUGCAUCUUGUUUAUAGUCAUCUUUGUACUGUAAUUUGAUGUACACAACAUUAAAAGUACUGACACCUGAGAAUUUCUGCUCAAGUAGUAUCAGUGAUCAUUUAAAAUUUGGAGGGGUCUUUGGUUUACAGCCAUGUGACAAUUAAAAGCACUAAAGGGAGAUCAUGUUAAAGCUCUUAAUUUAUAUUAAAACAGUAGCCUUUGUCUUUAAAAAAGUUGUUGCUCAUGAAUAUUAUAAAAUGAUCUACAGGUUUCAAUUCAACCUGUUUCUAGGUUUUUUUGUAAAUUUAGUUUUGAUUAAGCAUUAUAAGCAUUUGAGUCUAUAAACUUUAUAGUAGCAUCUUUCAGAAUAAACAUUUUUAAUUG